Molecule: ribosomal RNA, 446 nt
Filed under: uncultured bacterium
Lineage: Bacteria
Description: partial 16S ribosomal RNA
Rfam family: Bacterial small subunit ribosomal RNA
Source: RNAcentral
CCUACGGGUGGCAGCAGUCGAGAAUCAUUCACAAUGGGGGAAACCCUGAUGGUGCGACGCCGCGUGGGGGAAUGAAGGUCUUCGGAUUGUAAACCCCUGUCAUGUGGGAGCAAAUUAAAAAGAUAGUACCACUAGAGGAAGAGACGGCUAACUCUGUGCCAGCAGCCGCGGUAAUACAGAGGUCUCAAGCGUUGUUCGGAAUCACUGGGCGUAAAGCGUGCGUAGGCUGUUUCGUAAGUCGUGUGUGAAAGGCGCGGGCUCAACCCGCGGACGGCACAUGAUACUGCGGGACUAGAGUGAUGGAGGGGGAACCGGAAUUCUCGGUGUAGCAGUGAAAUGCGUAGAUAUCGAGAGGAACACUCGUGGCGAAGGCGGGUUCCUGGACAUUAACUGACGCUGAGGCACGAAGGCCAGGGGAGCGAAAGGGAUUAGAUACCCUAGUAGUC